Molecule: ribosomal RNA, 443 nt
Filed under: uncultured bacterium
Lineage: Bacteria
Description: bacterial SSU rRNA
Rfam family: Bacterial small subunit ribosomal RNA
Source: RNAcentral
GACGAACGCUGGCGGCGCGCCUAACACAUGCAAGUCGAACGGGACUAUGCUGGAAGAAGUUUUCGGAUGGAUUUUGGUAUAGUUUAGUGGCGGACGGGUGAGUAACACGUGAGCAACCUGCCUUCGAGAGGGGAAUAACGGCUGGAAACGGUCGCUAAUACCGCAUAAUAUACAGGAGGGACAUCCCUUUUGUAUCAAAGAUUUAUCGCUCGAAGAUGGGCUCGCGUCCGAUUAGGUAGUUGGUGAGGUAACGGCCCACCAAGCCGACGAUCGGUAGCCGGACUGAGAGGUUGAACGGCCACAUUGGGACUGAGACACGGCCCAGACUCCUACGGGAGGCAGCAGUGGGGGAUAUUGCACAAUGGGGGAAACCCUGAUGCAGCGACGCCGCGUGUGGGAAGACGGCCCUCUGGAUUGUAAACCACUGUCCCCAGGGACGAAGA